This 532-nucleotide long non-coding RNA is filed under the name Astyanax mexicanus (Mexican tetra). Its description in RNAcentral is "lncRNA (ENSAMXG00005014231.1)". The record is from RNAcentral. Lineage: Eukaryota; Metazoa; Chordata; Actinopteri; Characiformes; Acestrorhamphidae.
CUCAUUUACACUCACACUCUCUCUCUCUCUCUCUCUCUCUCUCUCUCUCUCUCAUCAGGUAGAGGUGUCUCUGGCGGGAGGCAGCGGGCCUGGUCUAGCGUGACUGACAGGAGGGGCUCCAGACACUGGAAGUGCAUGAGAAACAACGAGUCCACAGGAAAGCCUUAAGGCUUUGUAGAGGAACCACCACUGUCAAGAGGAAUAGAGCUGUGCUCCAGCUGGACCAGGAAUACAACCUGAGAGACAGAGAGAACAGAGCCGACCGGUUCUCCAACACUGUAGACUCCUCCACUGUCAGAAACAAAUCGGUGCAUCAUGGUCCUCCACAUUCCCUGGCAACUGCAGGUAAACAUUUUGUUAGGUAAUGGUUAUGGUUCCCAGUCUGUGUGGUUUUUAGUGUGUGCAGAAUUUACUCAAUAGGCUAAAUACUAAUAAUUCAAGCAAUUCAUGUUUAAUUUGCAAAGUGAAAUACAGAACAUUCUGUUCAUCAGAUGUGAAAUACAGUUUUUUUUUUCAGCAACUCUAACACAGA